AUUGAACGCUGGCGGCAGGCCUAACACAUGCAAGUCGAGCGGAUGAAGGGAGCUUGCUCCUGGAUUCAGCGGCGGACGGGUGAGUAAUGCCUAGGAAUCUGCCUGGUAGUGGGGGAUAACGUCCGGAAACGGGCGCUAAUACCGCAUACGUCCUGAGGGCGUAAGUGGGGGAUCUUCGGAUCUCACGCUAUCAGAUGAGCCUAGGUCGGAUUAGCUAGUUGGUGGGGUAAAGGCCUACCAAGGCGACGAUCCGUAACUGGUCUGAGAGGAUGAUCAGUCACACUGGAACUGAGACACGGUCCAGACUCCUACGGGAGGCAGCAGUGGGGAAUAUUGGACAAUGGGCGAAAGCCUGAUCCAGCCAUGCCGCGUGUGUGAAGAAGGUCUUCGGAUUGUAAAGCACUUUAAGUUGGGAGGAAGGGCAGUAAGUUAAUACCUUGCUGUUUUGACGUUACCAACAGAAUAAGCACCGGCUAACUUCGUG
RNAcentral lists this ribosomal RNA (484 nucleotides) under uncultured bacterium. RNAcentral describes it as "partial 16S ribosomal RNA". It matches the Rfam family "Bacterial small subunit ribosomal RNA", at positions 30 to 507 of the family's 1533-position model. The record is from RNAcentral.